This 411-nucleotide ribosomal RNA is filed under the name uncultured bacterium. Its description in RNAcentral is "bacterial SSU rRNA". It matches the Rfam family "Bacterial small subunit ribosomal RNA", at positions 362 to 773 of the family's 1533-position model. The record is from RNAcentral.
UCUUGCGCAAUGGCCGCAAGGCUGACGCAGCGACGCCGCGUGCGGGAGGACGCCCUUCAGGGUGUAAACCGCUGUUGCCCGGGACGAAUGGCUUCUUUCGAGGAGCGUGACGGUACCGGGUGAGGAAGCACCGGCUAACUCCGUGCCAGCAGCCGCGGUAAUACGGAGGGUGCGAGCGUUGUCCGGAAUCACUGGGCGUAAAGGGCGCGUAGGCGGUCUGGUAAGCGUGCGGUGAAAGCCCGGGGCUCAACCCCGGGUCGGCCGUGCGGACUGCGAGACUGGAGCACUGUAGAGGCAGAUGGAAUUCCGGGUGUAGCGGUGGAAUGCGUAGAGAUCCGGAAGAACACCGGUGGCGAAGGCGGUCUGCUGGGCAGUGGCUGACGCUGAUGCGCGACAGCGUGGGGAGCAAAC